CUGUUCCAGCUUCACCAGGUGUGAAGAGGAAGAGACCUGUGCCCCUCCCCCCACAGCUGGCCUUCCUGGUGACAGAGACAGAGGGUCUCACAAAGGUAGAGGAGCCCCACUCAACUUCAGUUCCCAUAGCUCCUGUUCCCAUGCCUGUCCCUGACCACGACAUGAGCAAGUGGAUCUGCUCACAACAUCAAAAGCUGUGGAUGAGGACGGAGCUUCAACAACUUGGGUUGUGGCCUGGGUCCCGACCAGUGCAUAACCCUGGGAACGCAAUUUCUCUUUGGCGUCUUCCUCCUCAGCCGGAGCUACUGGACAUGGUGGCUGAGCUCCCGUCCCCCAACUUUUUUCACCUCCAUCCAUUUUUCAUUUGGAAGCCAGAGAGCCACAUCACGGUCAGGUUGAGGAACAAUGACAUCCUGCCGUGCCUCCAUAGCUGUCCUCGUCCUCAGGUGGUCUCUGCAGGCGUGGGCAGACCUCCAGUGAUCGUCAGCGUCCGUGGCCAGUAUUUGAUCUUUUCCUCGCGACUCUGCUGCAAGGCCUGUCGCAGGAACUGGUCCGCUGACAACCCUCCAUGGGUGCCGAGGCUGGGGCGUACGGACAGAGAACCAUCGGCCAGUACGUGAGGAUGGAAGAUCGGCCACGUGCUUUCGGGCCAUACGAGGACCAAGAAGGUUGGGGUGGGGUGUCUGUGUCCGGAUUCUACCUGACUGACUGCCUGCUGGAUGAGUUCAAGCGUCAACAGCCGUCUCUGACCAAGCUCCUCCAGGGCACGUUGGGGCAGGUUUUCUGGUGGGACCACACGAGGAAGAUGGCGAGGAAGGUGACACUGGCAUCUGGAGCCAUGUCCAGUUUCGCAGUGAUGAAUGAGAACUGGCUCAUUGUGUCCUGGGUGAUGGUUCAGGCUGAGACAGAAAGGUCCCUGCAUCCGAUGUAGCAAGGAAUGGCCCAGAGGUACAGCCACGCUGGGGUGGGAAAGGCCGGCUACCCCUGGAUGGACAGGGAUCGCUGCGCUCCAUUUAAGAUCCCGGACUGCGUCCCUGGUGAACAUCUGUGCUGGGAUGCCUGGAAGACCACCCCUUCCAUUGUUGCAGGAGCCCCCUCUGGAGCGCUGAGCAACACCUGCGCCUCACGGGCACAUUACAACAGCAGCAGCGUUGUGAAGCCAGACUGGUUUCACUGUGUGAGGCGCUUUGGACGAGAGUGCACCUCUGAGCACCAUCCUCUGUUCAGCCUUUUCUGCCAGCUCCUUUCUGCCGCCUUCUCUGUGGUGGAUCAGGAAGACCUGAAGAGGCUCCGCGAUGCCUCCGAGUUCUGCGGAAUCCGUCCAGCCAACCCCACCAAACGGCACGUCCGAGAGCACUGCAGAACUAAAAUUCCACAACCCAGCGAGCGGCUGGAGAGAGUGGAGAGAGUUCUGCAGCACUUUCACCUGGCCACGGACCCUAACCAUGUCCCCCUCUUCAAGCCAUCCAUGCUGAAGACGUGGCGCGUUCAGAGGGUUCCCAUCCUCCGUGGUUGCCUCAGUGACCCAGAACUGUCUGAGGGGAUAAUGGACAGGGACGGAGGGACCCUUCAGCUAAACCACGUAGCGGGCGAAUGUGCCAAAGUCCCCGUCUGGAUCCCUGUCCGUGGUCCAUCUCAGCAGGAGGGCUACCAUUUCCACCAGGCCCAGUGGGUCACGGGUCCGCAGGUCUCCCCUGAACUGUUCCAGGCCCAGGCCAUGACCGGCGUUGUGCGGUGGAACUUUCAGCGACCGGUAGACAUGAAGAAGCCCGGCGCCGUCCUCCCUGCUGUCUUUGACCCUGCCUCAAUGUGGGAGUUGAACUCUGCUUCCAUGGCAGUGACGGGACAAGACAAGUGCCCUGCGUUCACCUCUCUGACAGAGACACUGGAGAAAGGUUUGGGCUGGAGUCCAGAGAACCGGGCUGCCCUCCGCUCCCUCUGGACUGGGACAAACACAAAAUGCAGCAGAGGGAUCGGCCUUCGGCUCUCGUGCCCCCUCCCGCUCCAGACGAUGCUCCUGGGGCAACACCUUCCUCCAGCGGGGCAACAGCGACUGCUGUGCCGUCGCUUCCCCCUGCGCCACCUGUCAGCUUCCAUCUCUCUGCUGCUGGACGUGUAAAGGAGAUUCCAGCAGAGGACGACCAGGAUCCUGAAAGAUCAACGUCUCUGGAGCUUUGCCCCUGCCGCUGAAGUCCUCGCCGAGGAGCGCCCGCACUGGACCCAUGAAGACUGGUGGUGGAGUGUUUGUCUUGGACCACACACGCUGGACUCUUCCCAUGAAAGACGCUAUUGAUAGUUUGCUGCAGUAUCAUCAUGGGGACAAGGACAUCCUGAGGCUUGUGGAUCCAGACUACGCAGACACGGUCCAUCGGUCUGCGGCCGAUCCGAACAGCUUGCUCCGCCCCACAACCAGGUUUCACAUAUCCCGCUAUGUGAAGCAUCUGGCAAAGCUGUUGUACACACUUUGAGAUUUAAUGUUGCACUCCUGGACCUGUAUAUCUCCAGGACCCGGAGGUGUGCAGGUCGGAUCACGGCCGACCCUUCCCACCCUGGUCACGGACUGUUUUCCCCCCUCCCCUCAGGCAGGAGACUACGGUCUAUUCGGACCAGAACCUCCCGCUACACAAACAGCUUCUUCCCCUCUGCCAUCAGGCUGCUGAACACCAAGUGACUCAUCACUCAAGCACCAUGAACAGCAGCCAGCCGGACCCAUGAACAUCACAUUACUCCUGCAUUGACCUGCACUAUUUCUUACCACUUACUAUUUAUGUAUAUACUGUAUAUAUGUCUUAUUCUAUUUUAUUUAUCUUAUUCUAGUGUGGUCUUCUUUAUGUUGAAUGUCGCAGCGUCACACCAUGACAAAUUCCUAGUUUGUGUAAUACUGUGUAUUACAUGAACAAUGGCAAUAAACCUGAUUCUGAUUCUGAUUCUGAUUCUGAUUCUGGACACACUUUGAGAUUUAAUGUUGCACUGAGAUUUAAUGUUGCACUAUUGUACAUUGUUUUACAUUUAAUAUUUAACUCCUGUACAUAGUUUCAGAUUUAAUAUUUUAUGAGUGUGUUUGUGUUUAAAUAAAAUUGAAUUUCCCACUUUGGUCCACAC
Molecule: long non-coding RNA, 3102 nt
Filed under: Takifugu rubripes (torafugu)
Lineage: Eukaryota; Metazoa; Chordata; Actinopteri; Tetraodontiformes; Tetraodontidae
Description: lncRNA (ENSTRUG00000032618.1)
Source: RNAcentral